UCUCGCUCUCUCUCUCUCUGUCUCUCUCUCUCUCUCUCUCUCUCUCUCUCUCUCUCUCUCUCUCUCUCUCUCUCUCUCUCAUAGGCUACCGGUCUAUUUACUUUCGAGCAUAGUUGGCUAUUGACUGAGCGAUGUACAAAGGGUACAUCUAAUAUCUAAUAUUUGUUUUGUAACAGGAAUAAAACAGUCAUGUCAGAAAAGGAGAGACCUGCCUUGCAUGUCAGUAAGCAUUAUACUGUUAGUCUACACCUGUUAUUUAUGAAGCAUGUGACGAAUAACAUUUGAUUUGAUUUGAUUUGCAAUGUGAUUAUGAUUUCGGCCUACGUUAUGAAAGUCAACUAAAUAUAUAUCAGGUGACGUGCUGCUAUGUGAUCUUCUUACCAACGUUAAAUGCAUCUGUUUUAUCAUUAGUUCUACUUUUUACUGUUUUUUAUUAGCCUACCAUAAGUAUUAUUCCUGUGUAUCAAGGAACUACAAUAUCUGCUUGCAGUACAGUUGAUCAACCACUAGGAGGUGUGUGUCCGCAUGGUCUUAGAUUAGCAUGGAGGUACGCGCACUUUCCUGCCAAGUUUAAAAUGUGUAAAUACUAACCUUUUAGAGAAAACUGUCAGACUGAAGGUUUGUGCUCACGCACCUUUGAUAAAUGAGGUCCUUCCUGGUGUGAAUAAGAUGGUUGUACUGUGUGGAGACGCCCUUCUAAACAUGGAGAGUCUAUUAGGACCAGUCUGUUAGUGCUGAAACUAUGGACCAGUCUAUUAGUGCUGAAACUAUGGACCAGUCUAUUAGUGCUGAAACUAUGGACCAGUCUGUUAGUGCUGAAACUAUGGACCAGUCUAUUAGUGCUGAAACUAUGGACCAGUCUAUUAGUGCUGAAACUAUGGACCAGUCGGUUAGUGCUGAAACUAUGGACCAGUCUGUUAGUGCUGAAACUAUGGACCAGUCUGUUAGUGCUGAAACUAUGGACCAGUCUGUUAGUGCUGAAACUAUAGACCAGUCUAUUAUUGCUGAAACAAUGGACCAGUCUGUUAGUGCUGAAACUAUGGACCAGUCUGUUAGUGCUGAAACUAUGGACCAGUCUGUUAGUGCUGAAACUAUGGACCAGUCUGUUAUUGCUGAAACUAUGGACCAGUCUGUUAUUGCUGAAACUAUGAACCAGUCUGUUAGUGCUGAAACGAUAGACCAGUCUAUUAGUGCUGAAACUAUGGACCAGUCUGUUAGUGCUGUAACUAUGGACCAGUCUGUUAGUGCUGAAAGUAUGGACCAGUCUGUUAUUGCUGAAACUAUGGACCAGUCUAUUAGUGCUGAAACUAUGAACCAGUCUGUUAGUGCUGAAACUAUGGACCAGUCUGUUAGUGCUGAAACUAUGGACCAGUCUGUUAUUGCUGAAACUAUGGACCAGUCUGUUAUUGCUGAAACUAUGGACCAGUCUGUUAGUGCUGAAACUAUGGACCAGUCUAUUAGUGCUGAAACUAUGGACCAGUCUGUUAGUGCUGAAACUAUGGACCAGUCUAUUAGUGCUGAAAUUAUGGACCAGCUGUACCACUAGGCUGUAGACAGAGAGCUGUACCACUAGGCUGUAGACAGAGAGCUGUACCACUAGGCUGUAGACAGAGAGUUGUACCACUAGGCUGUACACAGAGAGCUGUACCACUAGGCUGUAGACAGAGAGUUGUACCACUAGGCUGUAGACAGAGAGCUGUACCACUAGGCUGUAGACAGAGAGCUGUACCACUAGGCUGUAGACAGAGAGCUGUACCACUAGGCUGUAGACAGAGAGUUGUACCACUAGGCUGUAGACAGAGAGUUGUACCACUCCCGCUGUGUAACUGAAGGUUUUGGGGGUCACCUCCGCUGUGUAACUGAAGGUUUUGGGGGUCACCCCCGCUGUGUAACUGAAGGUUUUUGGGGCUCACUCCCGCUGUGUAACUGAAGGUUUUUGGGGUCACCUCCGCUGUGUAACUGAAGGUUUUGGGGGUCACCUCCGCUGUGUAACUGAAGGUUUUGGGGGUCACCCCCGCUGUGUAACUGAAGGUUUUUGGGGCUCACUCCCGCUGUGUAACUGAAGGUUUUUGGGGUCACCUCCGCUCUGUAACUGAAGGUCUUGGGGGUCACCUCCGCUGUGUAGCUGAAGAUUUUGGGGGUCACCUCCGCUGUGUAGCUGAAGGUUUUAUGGUCACCUCCGCUGUGUAGCUGAAGGUUUUAGGGUCACCUCCGCUGUGUAACUGAAGGUUUUAGGGUCACAUCCGCUGUGUAACUGAAGGUUUUGGUGUCACCUCCGCUGUGUAACUGAAGGUUUUAGGGUCACCUCCGCUGUGUAGCUGAAGGAUUUAGGGUCACCUCCGCUGUGUAACUGAAAUUUUCGGGGUCAAAUCCGCUGUGUAGCUGAAGGUUUUGGGGUCACCCCGCUGUGUAGCAGAAGGUUUUGGGUCUCACCCCAGCUGUGUAACUGAAGGUUUUGGGGUCACCUCCGCUGUGUAGCUGAAGGUUUUGGGUCUCACCCCAGCUGUGUAACUGAAGGUUUUGGGGUCACCUCCGCUGUGUAGCUGAAGGUUUUGGGUCUCACCCCAGCUGUGUAACUGAAGGUUUUGGGUCUCACCCCAGCUGUGUAACUGAAGGUUUUGGGUCUCACCCCAGCUGUGUAACUGAUGGUUUUGGGUCUCACCCCAGCUGUGUAACUGAAGGUUUUGGGUCUCACCCCAGCUGUGUAACUGAAGGUUUUGGGUCUCACCCCAGCUGUGUAACUGAAGGUUUUGGGUCUCACCCCGCUGUGUAACUCUGGUGAGAGCUCUCUGCUAGUGAGAGAGUUGACACGACCUCUAUCUCUCCCCACUGCCAUCCUCUGUCUCCAUCUGUUCAAUAAAUUCAGAAAAUAUAUAUUUAUAAAAAGAAGUAGUCUGUCUCCACCGACUGCAUAGAAAGGAGGGAAGAAGGAGGUAGAGUGAAUGAGGGGAGGAGGUAGAUUGAACGAGGGAUGGAGAUAGAGUGAACGAGGGGUGAAGGAGGUAGAGUGAACGAGGGGUGAAGGAGGUAGAGUGAACGAGGGAAGAAGGAGGUAGAGUGAACGAGGGGAGAAGGAGGUAGAGUGAACGAGGGAAGAAGGAGGUAGAGUGAACGAGGGGAGAAGGAGGUAGAGUGAACGAGGGGAGGAGGUAGAGUGAGCGAGGGAUGGAGGUAGAGUGAACGACGGGAGAAGGAGGUAGAGUGAACGAGGGGUGAAGGAGGUAGAGUGAACGAGGGAAGAAGGAGGUAGAGUGAACGAGGGAAGAAGGAGGUAGAGUGAACGAGGGAAGAAGGAGGUAGAGUGAACGAGGGAAGAAGGAGGUAGAGUGAACGAGGGAAGAAGGAGGUAGAGUGAACGAGGGAAGAAGGAGGUAGAGUGAUGCUUGUGGAACCUCCCAC
RNAcentral lists this long non-coding RNA (3399 nucleotides) under Salmo salar (Atlantic salmon). RNAcentral describes it as "lncRNA (ENSSSAG00000086260.1)". The record is from RNAcentral. Lineage: Eukaryota; Metazoa; Chordata; Actinopteri; Salmoniformes; Salmonidae.